AUGGGUGAAGGGACCACCAGAGGGAGGAGCCGCUUGUCCUCUAUGCAGCAUGCCCUCCAGCUGCUGUGCAUCAGCAUGGUCUACCCCAGCUAAAGCUGAGAAGGAGCACAAUGCAAAAGGACACUGAAAAAUCACAGAAAGUGGAACACUGUCACUAAGGAAGACCAUCCACUACUACUAAGCAAUGGCCUAGGGAAAGUCUGCUGGGAGAUCCUGGUUUGUGCAUUCCCACAAGUGACCCUUGGCAUAGAUGAGUCCUGUAUGAAAAACAAAUCGCAAACUGCUGUGACUAUUGGAACUGAAAAUGUAAUGACAACAUUUGCAUUGUAUUCCUCUCCUGGUUGCACUUCGAAGUUGUGAAGUUCCAUCAGUUUGGGGGACAAAUCUCUACCAAGGAUGUUCUACUUGCUGCUCAGCUUACACUUGUUCACUUGCAUCAGAAGUCAGAAGGA
This is a long non-coding RNA of Dromaius novaehollandiae (emu), 452 nucleotides long. RefSeq lists it as uncharacterized. Lineage: Eukaryota; Metazoa; Chordata; Aves; Casuariiformes; Dromaiidae. The transcript is spliced from 3 exons. The record is from RefSeq and is a predicted model, not a curated record.